This is a non-coding RNA of Gasterosteus aculeatus aculeatus (three-spined stickleback), 845 nucleotides long. The record is from RefSeq and is a predicted model, not a curated record. NCBI's taxonomy places the organism in Eukaryota, Metazoa, Chordata, Actinopteri, Perciformes, Gasterosteidae.
ACCUCUUCACACUCUACCUCCACUAACACACUAACUACCUGGAGCACUUACAUUAAAUGGAUGAAUCAGAACUGUGAAACUACAGAUCUAACCGGAAGUGACCGUUUAUAACUUCCUGUUUGUUUCCUGCUCUCUUUACAGGUGCGAAGCAGACAAGUAAAUAUCUUGUUAUCGAUGUAUCGUGUCAAAUUAAAUGUACUAUUAUUAUCACUGAUGAACGCUGGCGUCGGUAACAGGAAGUCAGAGAAUGGUGACUUCCGUUUUGUCAGUGUGCCGGUAGACAGGCGAACAGGUGAACAGAGAUCUGGUUACAACCGAAGAGCCGAAUUGAAGAGGAGCUCGUGACAGCUGGAGGACACCACACCUUUAUGACGUCACCGUGGAGCCCUGCCGCCACGAGCCGGGUGGACUCAAAGUGACCCGCUUCUCCGCGGAGGCUCCUACCUGGCCGUCCUCCGCCGGGGAUCGAACCCGCGGACCUGCCGCCGCCCUCCGGUCCGCUGAUCGUCUCACCUCAGGUGUGAUCGAUCGAUAGAAUCACUGCUCCCAUCCGGGAUCAGACGAGCCGAUCGGCGCGGCCGCCCCGAUGAUCGAUCAUCGCAGAUCGAUGGUGUGAUCGGAUGAAGGAUCCUCGCUCUUCAUCUUCCUUCUCCUCCUCUUCCUCCUCAUCGAUAAAGCAGCAGCCUGAAUGAGGAGCCGCUCCAUCAGCACCGCGAGGCGCGCUCACAACGACUCGGGAAUGCGCACGUCCGCGCGCACGGACUCGCAUGUGUUGACGGAUCAAACAGAUCGAUAAUCACUUAUUUUAAAUGGAAUAAUCAUUAAAUAAACGCUUUGUCUUCCUG